GGCGAACGGGUGAGUAACACGUGAGUAACCUGCCCUUGACUCUGGGAUAAGCCUGGGAAACUGGGUCUAAUACCGGAUAUGACUUCUCAUCGCAUGGUGGGGGGUGGAAAGCUUUUGUGGUUUUGGAUGGACUCGCGGCCUAUCAGCUUGUUGGUGGGGUAAUGGCCUACCAAGGCGACGACGGGUAGCCGGCCUGAGAGGGUGACCGGCCACACUGGGACUGAGACACGGCCCAGACUCCUACGGGAGGCAGCAGUGGGGAAUAUUGCACAAUGGGCGCAAGCCUGAUGCAGCGACGCCGCGUGAGGGAUGACGGCCUUCGGGUUGUAAACCUCUUUCAGUAGGGAAGAAGCCCUCUUUUGGGGGUGACGGUACUUGCAGAAGAAGCGCCGGCUAACUACGUGCCAGCAGCCGCGGUAAUACGUAGGGCGCAAGCGUUAUCCGGAAUUAUUGGGCGUAAAGAGCUCGUAGGCGGUUUGUCGCGUCUGCUGUGAAAGACCGGGGCUCAACUCCGGUUCUGC
This 521-nucleotide ribosomal RNA is filed under the name Arthrobacter sp. hata59. Its description in RNAcentral is "bacterial SSU rRNA". It matches the Rfam family "Bacterial small subunit ribosomal RNA", at positions 97 to 624 of the family's 1533-position model. The record is from RNAcentral. Lineage: Bacteria; Bacillati; Actinomycetota; Actinomycetes; Micrococcales; Micrococcaceae.